Molecule: long non-coding RNA, 316 nt
Organism: Juglans microcarpa x Juglans regia
Lineage: Eukaryota; Viridiplantae; Streptophyta; Magnoliopsida; Fagales; Juglandaceae
Exons: 3
Source: RefSeq, a predicted model, not a curated record
UUAUAGGCAGGUUGCAAAAGAGCAGUCUAAGAUUUCAUUAGUGGGCUAUAUGUCAUAUAUAGAGAGAGUAACUUUGUGAGCAAGUUUCCUUCGUGAAACAGUAUUUAUAAGUAGAUAAGAUGCAUUGUUUGCUCAAAAUAUUUCCAGAAAACUUUAUUGUAAUUCAAUGAAGCGGGCCAAAAAUUAAGGAACUUUAGAUGAUUAUAAUAGCACCCAUUUUGUGUUUUUUAAUUGAAUUGUUUGCUCUCUAUGGUUUUCCUUUCUUAAAACCCAUUAGUGAAUUGUUAACGGUGCUGAUGAGGCAUGCCACAUUGCA